Molecule: long non-coding RNA, 1105 nt
Organism: Eupeodes corollae
Lineage: Eukaryota; Metazoa; Arthropoda; Insecta; Diptera; Syrphidae
Exons: 2
Source: RefSeq, a predicted model, not a curated record
UGCAGGUACGCACCAGCACUUUUUGGAAACAUGAAAUGGUAGAAAACGAUCAUGAGUAUUUUAAACAACAUUUCAGAAUGAGCCGCAGAACUUUCAAUAUACUCUGCAAUGAACUAAAGGAUCUGGAAAUGCAAGAUACAAACUUUAGGAAGUGUAUACCAUUACAAAAAAGAAUAGCCAUUGCAAUAUAUGUAUACACUGGGAUCAUCCGCUGAAUACAGGACAGUUUCAGCUAUCUUUGGGGUAGGAAUAUCCACAGUAUGCAUUAUUGUGACAACAUUUUGUCAGGAAGUUUGGCGUGUUCUUUUCUUUGAUGAAACCAUUUUCUUUCAGUACCACAGCUUCCGAAGAAGAAAAGAACUUCAACUACGCACUUUCGAAAUGUCAAAGAGUUGUUGAAAACUGUUUCGGACACCUUAAAGCAAGAUUUAGGACAAUCGGAAAGGGACUUGAUAAAAUCAACAUCCAAUGCUUGCAAAAUGCAAACAAUAAUUCGCAUAGAGAGCAACCGGAACAAUCAACACAGGUAGAUGAUGCAAGAAAUACACCUUCCAUUAUCCGAAAUGCCAUCAAAAUGCAAUUAGGUAAGAUCACAAAAUACCUGUACAACAAAUGUACACAUACUGCACAUACUUAAGUAUAUACACAUUACAUAUCUACAAUACGCAACAUAUCGACGAACGCAACGUCGCGACGCAUGGUGAAGUGGUGCUUUUGUAUAGCUCACACUCCACCGUCUUCUCCCAUCGCGCAAAAUACUUCUUUCCGGAGCCUUGACGGAGUAGCCCGCGAUGAACUAGAUGCAGACUCGGCCGACGGAGUUUUUACAUCUUCUUCGUACUGCGAUGAGGUUGCCCCGCAGCUCAGACUCCUUUUCAGCCCAGAGUUCGAGCAGGUACUCCUCAUCCUGGCUCCCCACAGUUUCCUUUUUUUAUUUUUUUUUCUUCCAUAUUCUGUAAAUAAGAAACAAAAAGCAAUAAUUCUUAUUUUGUAAAGAUAAAUUGUAUAAAUAAUAUUACUUACCACGGCCAAAUUGUUUUGAUUGUUUGAAUAUAUGUAAUUGUUUUGAACAAAAUUUCAAAAUAAAAUAUUUGUUUUGACAGCA